UACGUAGGCAGCGAGCGUUGUUCGGAAUUACUGGGCGUAAAGCGUGCGCAGGCGGUUGUGCAAGACAGAUGUGAAAUCCCCGGGCUCAACCUGGGAACUGCAUUUGUGACUGCACGGCUGGAGUGCGGCAGAGGGGGAUGGAAUUCCGCGUGUAGCAGUGAAAUGCGUAGAUAUGCGGAGGAACACCGAUGGCGAAGGCAGCUCGCUGGGACGUUACUGACACUGAGGCGCGAAAGCGUGGGGAGCGAACAGG
This 253-nucleotide ribosomal RNA is filed under the name uncultured bacterium. RNAcentral's name for it is "partial 16S ribosomal RNA". It matches the Rfam family "Bacterial small subunit ribosomal RNA", at positions 524 to 776 of the family's 1533-position model. The record is from RNAcentral.